AGCUGGAUCACUUGAGGUCAGGAGUUUGAGAACAGCCUGACCAACAUGACGAAACCCUGUCUCUACUAAAAAUACAAAAAAGUUAGUCGCGCAUGGUGGCGGGUCCCUGUAACCCCAACUACUCAGGAGGCUGUCCAAAGCUUACAGGCUUAUCAAGUGGAAUCUUUUUUGACAUGAGGCCUCACUCUGUCCCUGAGGCUGGUGUGCAGUGGUACCAUCUCGGCUCACUGCAGCCUCAACUUCCUACGUUCAAGCGAUCCUACCCCCUCAGCCUCUGGAGUAGCUGGGUCUACAGUCGUGCACAACCACACCCAGCUGAUUUUUUAUUUUUGGUGGAGAUAUCCUUUUUGUAGGCCUCCCUAUGUUGCUCAGGCUGGUCUCAAACUCCUGGGCUCAAUCGAUCACCCACCUUGGCUUCCCAAAGUGCUGAGAUUAGAGGCAUGAACCACGAUGCCUGGCCUGGAAUCUUUAAAUAUUAAUAAUUCAAAAACCAAGAAGGGAAGCCCCAGCAACUUUAGAUGGCUAUAAAUAAUUAGGCACUCAAUCAGGAUUGAGUGCUUAGAAAUCUUGGAGUUUGUUUUAACACAAUGUGCUUUCCUGGAAAUCAUAUAACAAGAUAGUAAAUGCUACCCUCACUCAGACCUGAGGAACCAUAUUUAAGAUGGUUCCUCUUGCAAUAAACGUGCUGGCCAGCCACCCAAAUUCUGCCUUAGCAAAGUCAUGAUGGGGUGCGGGGAUACGGCUGAGAUGACACCCAGAUACAAAUCUAUAGACAUUAUGAAACAAUUUCCUUUCCUGCCUCUUGCGUAUAUCUGCCUCCCUCCUCUCGCCCCAGCUACUUCUCUAGCACUCUAAACUCUAGCUCAGGCUUGAGCAAACCGGGCUGGAUUAGCAGCUGACUCCUACAGUCAUAGCACUGCACAGAGAGAACCCAGACACUUCCUAUCAGGACCACAAGGCAGAGAUCUGCUCUGUCCAGCUCUGGAAUUGACUGGACUGGCUCAUGACUGUCAACCUAUUUCUGAGAACAUAAAAAGGUCCCUUUCAGACUGCCACCAAUUCAGAGGGCUAGAAUUUUAGAUAAAAACAGUAUAUCCAGUAAUCUGUUCUCUCUUGUAGACACUUCCUCGUUUUUUUGAGACAGGGUCUCGUUCUGUCACCGAAGCUGGAGUGCAGUGGCAUGAUCACAGCUCACUGCUGCCUAGAACUCCAGGGCUCAACUGAUCCUCCUGCCUCAGCCUC
RNAcentral lists this long non-coding RNA (1242 nucleotides) under Homo sapiens (human). Its description in RNAcentral is "HSALNT0245177". Lineage: Eukaryota; Metazoa; Chordata; Mammalia; Primates; Hominidae. The record is from RNAcentral.